RNAcentral lists this ribosomal RNA (644 nucleotides) under uncultured Pseudomonadota bacterium. Its description in RNAcentral is "bacterial SSU rRNA". It matches the Rfam family "Bacterial small subunit ribosomal RNA", at positions 84 to 724 of the family's 1533-position model. The record is from RNAcentral. Lineage: Bacteria; Pseudomonadati; Pseudomonadota.
UCCUGGAUUCAGCGGCGGACGGGUGAGUAAUGCCUAGGAAUCUGCCUGGUAGUGGGGGACAACGUUUCGAAAGGAACGCUAAUACCGCAUACGUCCUACGGGAGAAAGCAGGGGACCUUCGGGCCCUGCGCUAUCAGAUGAGCCUAGGUCGGAUUAGCUAGUUGGUGAGGUAAUGGCUCACCAAGGCGACGAUCCGUAACUGGUCUGAGAGGAUGAUCAGUCACACUGGAACUGAGACACGGUCCAGACUCCUACGGGAGGCAGCAGUGGGGAAUAUUGGACAAUGGGCGAAAGCCUGAUCCAGCCAUGCCGCGUGUGUGAAGAAGGUCUUCGGAUUGUAAAGCACUUUAAGUUGGGAGGAAGGGUUGUAGAUUAAUACUCUGCGAUUUUGACGUUACCGACAGAAUAAGCACCGGCUAACUCUGUGCCAGCAGCCGCGGUAAUACAGAGGGUGCAAGCGUUAAUCGGAAUUACUGGGCGUAAGGCGCGCGUAGGUGGUUUGUUAAGUUGGAUGUGAAAUCCCCGGGCUCAACCUGGGAACUGCAUCCAAAACUGGCAAGCUAGAGUAUGGUAGAGGGUGGUGGAAUUUCCUGUGUAGCGGUGAAAUGCGUAGAUAUAGGAAGGAACACCAGUGGCGAAGGCGA